GAUGAACGCUGGCGGCGUGCCUAAUACAUGCAAGUCGAGCGAACGGACGAGAAGCUUGCUUCUCUGAUGUUAGCGGCGGACGGGUGAGUAACACGUGGAUAACCUACCUAUAAGACUGGGAUAACUUCGGGAAACCGGAGCUAAUACCGGAUAAUAUUUUGAACCGCAUGGUUCAAAAGUGAAAGACGGUCUUGCUGUCACUUAUAGAUGGAUCCGCGCUGCAUUAGCUAGUUGGUAAGGUAACGGCUUACCAAGGCAACGAUGCAUAGCCGACCUGAGAGGGGGGAUCGCCCACAUGGGAAUGGGAACCCGCCCAAGACCCGGGGGGGGGGAGCAGUGGGGGAAUUUCCCGAAGGGGGGAAAAGCCUGAGGGGGCACGCCCGGGGGGGGAAGAAUGGUCUCGGGAUCGAAAAACUGUUUUAUGGGGAAAAAAAAUAUGUUAAAGAAAUUGGGCAAAUCUGGAGGUUCCCUAAAAAAAAACCCCCGGCUAACUAGGGC
This 498-nucleotide ribosomal RNA is filed under the name uncultured bacterium. Its description in RNAcentral is "partial 16S ribosomal RNA". It matches the Rfam family "Bacterial small subunit ribosomal RNA", at positions 28 to 508 of the family's 1533-position model. The record is from RNAcentral.